Chionomys nivalis (European snow vole) is the source of this 1451-nucleotide long non-coding RNA. RefSeq lists it as uncharacterized. The record is from RefSeq and is a predicted model, not a curated record. The transcript is spliced from 4 exons. NCBI's taxonomy places the organism in Eukaryota, Metazoa, Chordata, Mammalia, Rodentia, Cricetidae.
GUCGGAGUGGUUCUCCAGGGAGAAAGCGAAUGCACUAAGCCAACUAGAGAGCUGGAAACAACUGAAAUAGAGGCAGUGUCUGUUGAAAGCGAGUUUCUGGAAGCGUCACCUGCUGAACUCCUCCUGAUCACCUCUAUCUCUGUGAAUAGCUUGGAAUUGACACCUCUUCUCAAGCAAUCUACAUAAUUACAGAGCAAGUAGCAGCAUAUCCUGAGCUUUUGUUAGGGUAGGGACAGCCUGUCUGGAAGGGUAUGUGACUACUAUGGUUUGAGAGCCUUGCUGUCGUACCAUUUGGAAAUAUGAGCCUACAAUAAGCUGCAGAUCAGAAUGUAUCUCUACUACUUCUCCAGCAACAAGCCUGCUAUGUCUGCAAUAUGCUGCUUAACAUGAUGACAAUGGACUAAACCUCUGAAAUUCUAACACUCAAGUACUACACUGAAGAGGUAUGAAGAUAGUGGACAACCUUACCUUGUUCCUGAUUUUAGUGAAAUUACUUUGAGUUUCUGCUACAAGCUGCAACAGUAAUUGCUCAGCCAUCUUUUCACAACUGACUUAUCAGGACCAAGGGAUCUGGUAAAGGGUAAACCAAAAGGCAAGGCUUGUUGGCGCUACUGCUUUGUGAAUAUAGUGGUUGUCCUUUGCUGUAGUUUUUUUGCUGUUGCUAACUCCCUUUUUGUUACAUAUUUGGGAAUUAAUUCCUUAGUUCAGAACAAUUUCCCGCUGCCAAGCCAUGUCCCUCUCUCCUAGGUAAGCAAAGAGAUCUGACUUCCUGCAAUUAUCUUUAUCAACAGAUAUUUGGUCAAUGUUUUGAGUCCAGGCCUAGAGCAUUUAGUUCAAGAUAUUCACAGAUAUCCAACAACAUAGAAUUACUACUUGCCCAAGCUGCUGCUCUGGUUUUAUCUCACUCAAAGGAUUAUUAACUCCUUAUGCCCACUUUCACCUCAGUUUACUGAUGAUUUUAGUUCCGGUCUCUCAAGGACAGCAGAAGGGAUAAAUAACUGCAGCCCAGAGAAAGACCCUCAAAACCCACGAUCAGAACGCCUGAUAACAGCAUGGCCCCAAAUUGAUAAUUUAGAGUUUUUGGUCUCUUCUUUACUUAGAGCAGUAAGUCUAUCUCCAGACUUAGGCCCUUAAAAACUAGUUUCUAGUGUAUGUGCUAUCUGAUCAAGAGCCAUCGGCAUCUCCCUGUUUACAUAGGUUGCCUGGUUACCUGGCAGCCUCUCUGCAUACUGGGAGAAAAGAAGUGAAAUGCUGAUUUAAACAAUUCAUGCCCUAUUCAUAGUUUUACUGAAAAUAAACCUUUCUAACAAUCUAAAAAUGUAGUGUAGUGCACUAACUUUCCCCUCUAGAAUUCCCUGAUAAUCUAAUUCCUUUUUUCACUAACUUUCUAAUAAUCUAAUUCCUCUUUUCACUUUCUCCUUUAAAGAGUUCAACAGAAGUGUACUAGCCAC